This 496-nucleotide ribosomal RNA is filed under the name uncultured bacterium. RNAcentral's name for it is "partial 16S ribosomal RNA". It matches the Rfam family "Bacterial small subunit ribosomal RNA", at positions 29 to 507 of the family's 1533-position model. The record is from RNAcentral.
AUGAACGCUGGCGGCGUGCCUAAUACAUGCAAGUCGAGCGAACGGACGAGAAGCUUGCUUCUCUGAUGUUAGCGGCGGACGGGUGAGUAACACGUGGAUAACCUACCUAUAAGACUGGGAUAACUUCGGGAAACCGGAGCUAAUACCGGAUAAUAUUUUGAACCGCAUGGUUCAAAAGUAAAAGACGGUCUUGCUGUCACUUAUAGAUGGAUCCGCGCUGCAUUAGCUAGUUGGUAAGGUAACGGCUUACCAAGGCAACGAUGCAUAGCCGACCUGAGAGGGCGAUCGGCCACACUGGAACUGAGACACGGUCCAGACUCCUACGGGAGGCAGCAGUAGGGAAUCUUCCGCAAUGGGCGAAAGCCUGACGGAGCAACGCCGCGUGAGUGAUGAAGGUCUUCGGAUCGUAAAACUCUGUUAUUAGGGAAGAACAUAUGUGUAAGUAACUGUGCACAUCUUGACGGUACCUAAUCAGAAAGCCACGGCUAACUACGUG